GUGCUGCUAAUUUUCUCAAUUUCUUCCAGAAAUGGGAAAAUUUAUCUAUAUUAGGAAAUGUGAUCUUCCUUUCUUCAACCAUACUGUCCUGAGAAUGUGCUCCAGAUCUGCGCCAUGGAACACAGGGGAAGGCAAAGUCCUGAGACAGAACAAAGGGAGAAGAUGCAAGGAUCCAGUAGUUUAGCCGAUUUUGUACUGAAGCAGCUCUGAUGGACCAAAACCAAAGUUUUCAAGGCAGAGUUGCCAAAUUUGCCAAUGCUGAUCUGGAAGUCAAAUACCCAGGUGUUUUGAAGAGUGAAAAUGCUGAAAAAGCAGGGUGACAAGAUCAGAAUCCCCUUGACUUUGCUGUGGCAGCUGCUGCUUGGGCUGCACACCCAGCUGAGGAAGCAGCACAGGAAAGGGUGCUCAGAGUAGUUCCUGCAGCUGAAGAAAGAGCCUACGCCAAACUCAGGACUCGCCUGUGGAUCACCACAUUGCUUUUGGAGGAGAUUUUUAAGGAGCUGUGGGACUUCAGACUCGAAGGAUUAUAUCAUGAUGAAAUCAGGCAAAACUGCUCAUCAGAUGACCAGAAUUUGCAGUUUCCAUCUGCCCCAAGCUGGACUUUGGGCUAGAGGAGUAGCUGCAGGCUGCUGGUCUCCUAAGAAGCACAGGGCUUGGGGUCUAUCUGUGCCACAGCACCAAGAGUUCAUUUAUCUCUCUCUGUCUCCCUGAAGCAUGCUUCUCUCGCCGCAUAACUCAGCACCAUGGACAGAGGUUCUCCCUAAUCCUGGAAAUGCUGUUGGACCUAUUAUCAAGCAUCAGAGACUUCUGAAAAGCCAAGCAGGUCAUGGCAGCAUGGGUCCAUCCUGCAGGUCUGUGGCAGCUGGUAAAUUGCUUUCAGAGGAGACUGUGUGUGCAAAGUGUCCCCAUUCAGGAUCUCUUGGGAACCAAGUUUUCUGGCUUUCCAGGGAUUUCAAAAGGAAUUAAAAUUAAUAGGAGUUUCCUUACAGUUCAUCCACACUCCAAAAAGAAAUUUGUUGAGACUCAGACAGGAGGAAGUCCUGCUUCUUUUCAUGUUUGUCAGGACUACAAAGUGGUCUUGGCCCUGGCAUGAGAAAGCUUGAAUUAUAUGGGAUUUUUGAUUCCCACAGCUUCAGUCACUGGUGGAGUCUCUGCUCUGCCCACACAGGGAAGGUUUUAACCCAAGAUCUAUAAUCCUGUGCCAUAGCGUCAGCCUCAGGAAACAGAUGCAACAGUUAAGCCACAGUCAUAGACAAGGAGGACCACCUGCUCUCAGGCAGCAAAGGGCAGCAGCCCUGCAGGGCUCUUCCACACCCUUAGAGCCCCUAAUUGUCCUCAGCUGGGCCUGCCUACUGCUAUUUAAGCUCCAGCUGAGGAGCAUCAUCUGUUAUUGCUUCUCCUGCUUGGCUGCUGGAGGAGUGGGGCUUCCUCUUCGAGGCUGACUUCAUCUUUGAGGCUGGCUUCAUGGCCACUGUCCUGCAUCACACUGUGUGCUGGACCAAUACGUGUAUGAGGACAGGAUGAUCAUCUUCCUGGUGGAAUGCAGAAGUGAAAUACU
This is a long non-coding RNA of Camarhynchus parvulus, 1558 nucleotides long. RefSeq lists it as uncharacterized. The transcript is spliced from 11 exons. The record is from RefSeq and is a predicted model, not a curated record. NCBI's taxonomy places the organism in Eukaryota, Metazoa, Chordata, Aves, Passeriformes, Thraupidae.